GGCGGAUGUAGCCAAGUGGAUCAGG
RNAcentral lists this transfer RNA (25 nucleotides) under Dichrostachys cinerea. RNAcentral describes it as "partial tRNA-His". The record is from RNAcentral. Lineage: Eukaryota; Viridiplantae; Streptophyta; Magnoliopsida; Fabales; Fabaceae.